This 1322-nucleotide ribosomal RNA is filed under the name uncultured Alphaproteobacteria bacterium. RNAcentral's name for it is "bacterial SSU rRNA". It matches the Rfam family "Bacterial small subunit ribosomal RNA", at positions 27 to 1396 of the family's 1533-position model. The record is from RNAcentral. Lineage: Bacteria; Pseudomonadati; Pseudomonadota; Alphaproteobacteria.
GAACGUACGCUGGCGGCACGCCUAACACAUGCAAGUCGAACGAAGUAGCAAUACUUAGUGGCAGACGGGUGAGUAACAUGUAGGUAUCUGCCCUUUGGCCUGGAAUAACACGAGGAAACUUGUGCUAAUACCGGAUAAGUCUUUACGGAGAAAGCUUUAUGCACCAUUGGAUGAGCCUGCACUUGAUUAGUUUGUUGGUGGGGUAAUGGCCUACCAAGACUGUGAUCAAUAGCUGAUUUGAGAGGAUGAUCAGCCACAUUGGGACUGAGACACGGCCCAAACUCCUACGGGAGGCAGCAGUGGGGAAUCUUGCACAAUGGAGGAAACUCUGAUGCAGCGAUGCCGCGUGAGUGAAGAAGGCCUUUGGGUUGUAAAGCUCUUUCGUCGGGGAAGAAAAUGACUGUACCCGAAUAAGAAGGUCCGGCUAACUUCGUGCCAGCAGCCGCGGUAAUACGAAGGGACCUAGCGUAGUUCGGAAUUACUGGGCUUAAAGAGUUCGUAGGUGGUUGAAAAAGUUAGUGGUGAAAUCCCAGAGCUUAACUCUGGAACUGCCAUUAAAACUUUUCAGCUAGAGUAUGAUAGAGGAAAGCAGAAUUUCUAGUGUAGAGGUGAAAUUCGUAGAUAUUAGAAAGAAUACCAAUUGCGAAGGCAGCUUUCUGGAUCAUUACUGACACUGAGGAACGAAAGCAUGGGUAGCGAAGAGGAUUAGAUACCCUCGUAGUCCAUGCCGUAAACGAUGUGUGUUAGACGUUGGAAAUUUAUUUUCAGUGUCGCAGGGAAACCGAUAAACACACCGCCUGGGGAGUACGACCGCAAGGUUAAAACUCAAAUGAAUUGACGGGGACCCGCACAAGUAGUGGAGCAUGUGGUUUAAUUCGAAGAUACGCGCAGAACCUUACCAACACUUGACAUGUUCGUCGCGACUCUAAGAGAUUAGAGUUUUCGGUUCGGCCGGACGAAACACAGGUGCUGCAUGGCUGUCGUCAGCUCGUGUCGUGAGAUGUUGGGUUAAGUCCCGCAACGAGCGCAACCCUCACUUUUAGUUGCCAUCAUUAAGUUGGGCACUCUGAAAGAACUGCCAGUGAUAAGCUGGAGGAAGGUGGGGAUGACGUCAAGUCCUCAUGGCCCUUACGUGUUGGGCUACACACGUGCUACAAUGGUAUCUACAACAGGAAGCAAGACUGCGAAGUUAAGCAAAUCCCUAAAAGAUACCUCAGUUCGGAUUGCACUCUGCAACUCGAGUGCAUGAAGCUGGAAUUACUAGUAAUCGUGGAUCAGCGUGCCACGGUGAAUGCGUUCCCGGGUCUUGUACUCACCGCCCG